AUUGAACGCUGGCGGCAUGCCUUACACAUGCAAGUCGAACGGCAGCACGGGUGCUUGCACCUGGUGGCGAGUGGCGAACGGGUGAGUAAUACAUCGGAACAUGUCCUGUAGUGGGGGAUAGCCCUGCGAAAGCCGGAUUAAUACCGCAUACGAUCUACGGAUGAAAGCGGGGGACCUUCGGGCCUCGCGCUGUAGGGUUGGCCGAUGGCGGAUUAGCUAGUUGGUGGGGUAAAGGCCUACCAAGGCGACGAUCAGUAGCUGGUCUGAGAGGAGGACCAGCCACACGGGGACUGAGACACGGCCCAGAGGCCUACGGGAGGCAGCAGUGGGGAAUUUGGGACAAUGGGCGAAAGCCUGAUCCAGCAAUGCCGCGUGUGUGAAGAAGGCCUUCGGGUUGUAAAGCACUUUUGUCCGGAAAGAAAUGCUUGGCCCUAAGACGGUCGGGGGAUGACGGUACCGGAAGAAUAGGCACCGGCUAACUACGUG
RNAcentral lists this ribosomal RNA (486 nucleotides) under uncultured bacterium. RNAcentral describes it as "partial 16S ribosomal RNA". It matches the Rfam family "Bacterial small subunit ribosomal RNA", at positions 29 to 507 of the family's 1533-position model. The record is from RNAcentral.